Molecule: ribosomal RNA, 453 nt
Filed under: uncultured bacterium
Lineage: Bacteria
Description: bacterial SSU rRNA
Rfam family: Bacterial small subunit ribosomal RNA
Source: RNAcentral
AACGAACGCUGGCGGCAUGCCUAACACAUGCAAGUCGAACGAACCCUUCGGGGUUAGUGGCGCACGGGUGCGUAACGCGUGGGAAUCUGCCCAAAGGUUCGGAAUAACAGUUAGAAAUGACUGCUAAUACCGGAUAAUGUCGCAAGACCAAAGAUUUAUUGCCUUUGGAUGAGCCCGCGUAGGAUUAGCUAGUUGGUGGGGUAAAGGCCUACCAAGGCGACGAUCCUUAGCUGGUCUGAGAGGAUGAUCAGCCACACUGGGACUGAGACACGGCCCAGACUCCUACGGGAGGCAGCAGUGGGGAAUACUCCACAAUGGGCGCAAGCCUGAUGGAGCGACGCCGCGUGCGGGAUGAAGCCCUUUGGGGUGUAAACCGCUUUUAGAAGGGAUGAUACGGCUCCUCGUAAGGGGUCUAAGACAGUACCUUCUGAAUAAGCAUCGGCUAACUACGUG